RNAcentral lists this ribosomal RNA (635 nucleotides) under Leuconostoc pseudomesenteroides. RNAcentral describes it as "bacterial SSU rRNA". It matches the Rfam family "Bacterial small subunit ribosomal RNA", at positions 22 to 639 of the family's 1533-position model. The record is from RNAcentral. Lineage: Bacteria; Bacillati; Bacillota; Bacilli; Lactobacillales; Lactobacillaceae.
GCUCAGGAUGAACGCUGGCGGCGUGCCUAAUACAUGCAAGUCGAACGCACAGCGAAAGGUGCUUGCACCUUUCAAGUGAGUGGCGAACGGGUGAGUAACACGUGGACAACCUGCCUCAAGGCUGGGGAUAACAUUUGGAAACAGAUGCUAAUACCGAAUGAAACUUAGUGUCGCAUGACACGAAGUUAAAAGGCGCUUUGGCGUCACCUAGAGAUGGAUCCGCGGUGCAUUAGUUAGUUGGUGGGGUAAAGGCCUACCAAGACAAUGAUGCAUAGCCGAGUUGAGAGACUGAUCGGCCACAUUGGGACUGAGACACGGCCCAAACUCCUACGGGAGGCUGCAGUAGGGAAUCUUCCACAAUGGGCGAAAGCCUGAUGGAGCAACGCCGCGUGUGUGAUGAAGGCUUUCGGGUCGUAAAGCACUGUUGUAUGGGAAGAACAGCUAGAAUAGGGAAUGAUUUUAGUUUGACGGUACCAUACCAGAAAGGGACGGCUAAAUACGUGCCAGCAGCCGCGGUAAUACGUAUGUCCCGAGCGUUAUCCGGAUUUAUUGGGCGUAAAGCGAGCGCAGACGGUUGAUUAAGUCUGAUGUGAAAGCCCGGAGCUCAACUCCGGAAUGGCAUUGGAAACUGGUUA